This is a long non-coding RNA of Corvus hawaiiensis (hawaiian crow), 114 nucleotides long. RefSeq lists it as uncharacterized. The transcript is spliced from 2 exons. The record is from RefSeq and is a predicted model, not a curated record. Lineage: Eukaryota; Metazoa; Chordata; Aves; Passeriformes; Corvidae.
UUUGGAAUGGGAAUGGCUGUUGGGAGCUCUGGCAGGACCAGGUGGACAUGGAAGUGAUGGAGGCGUUCAGGGAACGCUGAUUGUUUUUCCCUGCCUCUGGCAGUCAGGUCAUUA